CUCGUAGGCGGUUCGUCGCGUCCGGUGUGAAAGUCCAUCGCUUAACGGUGGAUCCGCGCCGGGUACGGGCGGGCUUGAGUGCGGUAGGGGAGACUGGAAUUCCCGGUGUAACGGUGGAAUGUGUAGAUAUCGGGAAGAACACCAAUGGCGAAGGCAGGUCUCUGGGCCGUCACUGACGCUGAGGAGCGGAAGCGUGGGGAGCGAACA
Molecule: ribosomal RNA, 207 nt
Filed under: uncultured bacterium
Lineage: Bacteria
Description: partial 16S ribosomal RNA
Rfam family: Bacterial small subunit ribosomal RNA
Source: RNAcentral